GGAAGCGUGGCCGAGUGGUUUAAGGCAACGGUCUUGAAAACCGUCGAUGGGCAACUAUCCUAGAGUUCGAAUCUCUACGCUUCCG
Molecule: non-coding RNA, 85 nt
Organism: Pseudomonas putida
Lineage: Bacteria; Pseudomonadati; Pseudomonadota; Gammaproteobacteria; Pseudomonadales; Pseudomonadaceae
Source: Rfam